This 425-nucleotide ribosomal RNA is filed under the name uncultured bacterium. Its description in RNAcentral is "partial 16S ribosomal RNA". It matches the Rfam family "Bacterial small subunit ribosomal RNA", at positions 354 to 796 of the family's 1533-position model. The record is from RNAcentral.
GUAAGGAAUAUUGGACAAUGGGGGAAACCCUGAUCCAGCCAUGCCGCGUGAGUGAAGAAGGCCUUCGGGUUGUAAAGCUCUUUCAGAUGUGAAGAUGAUGACGGUAACAUCAGAAGAAGCUCCGGCUAACUUCGUGCCAGCAGCCGCGGUAAUACGAAGGGAGCGAGCGUUGUUCGGAAUCACUGGGCGUAAAGAGUGCGUAGGCGGUUAUACAAGUCAGGAGUGAAAUCCCAGGGCUCAACCCUGGAAUUGCUUUUGAAACUGUAUAGCUAGAGUCCCGGAGGGGUUAAUGGAAUUCCGAGUGUAGAGGUGAAAUUCGCAGAUAUUCGGAGGAACACCAGUGGCGAAGGCGAUUAACUGGACGGGCACUGACGCUGAGGCACGAAAGCGUGGGGAUCAAACAGGAUUAGAUACCCCAGUAGUCC